Molecule: ribosomal RNA, 467 nt
Filed under: uncultured bacterium
Lineage: Bacteria
Description: partial 16S ribosomal RNA
Rfam family: Bacterial small subunit ribosomal RNA
Source: RNAcentral
GACGAACGCUGGCGGCGUGCUUAACACAUGCAAGUCGAACGGAAAGGCCCUGCUUUUGUGGGGUGCUCGAGUGGCGAACGGGUGAGUAACACGUGAGUAACCUGCCCUUGACUUUGGGAUAACUUCAGGAAACUGGGGCUAAUACCGGAUAGGAGCUCCUGCUGCAUGGUGGGGGUUGGAAAGUUUCGGCGGUUGGGGAUGGACUCGCGGCUUAUCAGCUUGUUGGUGGGGUAGUGGCUUACCAAGGCUUUGACGGGUAGCCGGCCUGAGAGGGUGACCGGCCACAUUGGGACUGAGAUACGGCCCAGACUCCUACGGGAGGCAGCAGUGGGGAAUAUUGCACAAUGGGCGGAAGCCUGAUGCAGCAACGCCGCGUGCGGGAUGACGGCCUUGGGGUUGUAAACCGCUUUCGCCUGUGACGAAGCGUGAGUGACGGUAAUGGGGAAAGAAGCACCGGCUAACUACGU